CCAAUUUCCUUUUCUUUCUCUUCACCUCAUCGCCGCACGAUUCCCUUCUCUUCCUCAUUCCCGAUCUCCUCCUCCCCUCUCAUCUUCACGCUGCCGCGACCAGCCCCUCCUCACUCGAUCGCCGCCGGUGAAGUCCUCAGCCGGUAACGUGCUAGCGACCUUGAAGCUGCAGCACCGCCUCCUGAUCUUGCCGACGCCGAGCUCUUUUUCGAUUCCACCUUUCUUCGCCUAAGCCCUAGCGUGUGCCGAUGUCGCGCCUUGCAUCUACGCCCGACGCCAUCUUCUUACCAUGCCCUAGCUUGAAUCGAUCUCGCGGUGGUGCACAGAUCUUCCUCCAGCCGACGCUGUCGAUUUGUCUCGACGCUGCCGCCGGCCAAGGAGUAAGAAGGGGUGUUGUUCCAAGGGUCCAGCCACCCUUUGCUUCUUCCCUCGUCUUCAAGGUGCAGCUGGUUAGUUGCUUGGAGUCAUCCGAUCUUCACCAGAAGAGUGAGUGAUGGAGAGGAGUAUGCUGGUAAUAGAUUGAGUUUUGGCCAGCACUGUAGGCCAGUGAACCAUCGGAGAAAAGAUUGUUGACAUGGAAUUAAGUUAGAAGGUGAUGGAGAUGUGGGCAGCAGUAAGCAUCACACCCGUGAUUUUCAACAGUGGGUUGUUUCGUUCACAAGGAGCACUUUGAAUGAGGAUCCGAGUUGGAUGUGAUCUUCUGGAGUUGUUGAAGACGGUUGACACGCACUACGUAUAAAGGCGGGU
This is a long non-coding RNA of Zingiber officinale, 747 nucleotides long. RefSeq lists it as uncharacterized. The record is from RefSeq and is a predicted model, not a curated record. The transcript has 4 exons. NCBI's taxonomy places the organism in Eukaryota, Viridiplantae, Streptophyta, Magnoliopsida, Zingiberales, Zingiberaceae.